GGAUUGGGAUAUUCCGACUCCUUAAGGGCCUGGCGCACAUAAGGUGUGACCUUUUCAUUCCCGUUGUUAUGGAGGUAGGCUCUCUAGGAAUCUGGGAGUAGUAGCUGGGGGGCAAGAGCAAAUAAAGAGCUCGAGCUUCUGUGGUCUCUGGGGAGAUGUUCCCGGGAAGCCUGUCUAGAGGGCGGAGGGCAGCUGUUGAGAUGGCGUGGCUCCCCGGCUCCUGCGCCCGCGUGGCUUUCGCGGCGGGCGCUGCGGCCCGGUAUUGGACAGCCUGGCAGGGCAGCGCGGGGCCGAAUCCGGCUGCCGUGGCUGAGGCUCAUGGAUCACUCUUUUGUGGUAGGGCCACAUCUGCCAGAGCCUGGAGUCUGCGAAGGCCGGGACCCGGUUCCCCGGCCCACAGUGGGGGUGUGCAAACCCGAGAGAACUGGGAAGUGCCGUCAGAAGCGAUAACUGACGACGUCUAAUGUCUAUCUGACCGCAGUCGCUGAAACCUCUACAACUUAGUUGACCGUAACUGCCAGAGCCCUGCCCUGAAUUCCUGUCCUUACUCCCUCUUUAAGAUUGCGUACCCACUGCAGAGUGCUGAAGACGGGGUAGCCACGAGGUUGCAAAUUCGUGAAGAAUCAGCAUCAUGUUUGGCAGCUGAGUAUUGGAGCCAGGAGCCUGCCAUGAGGUUAUAUUCCCAGAGGAUGUCAGUCCCAAGGACCAGUAGCUGCCAUCAGUUUGGAUUCUGAAAACUAACUGGCAUCAACACUGGGUGUAGAAACAUGCUUGCCUUAUGUAUCAGAGGACAUGCUCAGCAGAUCCAAGAGAUAUAUUUGGCAACUUUUUCUAGAAAAGGCACAUUGGGUAUCAUUCAUUACAUUCUUGAGUUUUUUUGGGUUUUUUUUUUUUUUUUUGAGACAGUCUUGCUGUAUUGCCCAGGCUGGAGUGUGGUGGCACAAUCACAGCUCAUUGCAUCCUCAAUCACCCAGGCCUAAGCAAUCCUCCCACCUUGUAGCUGGGACUACAGCUCACAGCACACCUGGCUAAAAUUUUUUUUUUGUUGAGACGGAUUCUCUAUGUUGCCCAGGCUGGUCUCAGGCUCCUGGGCUCAGAUGGUCCUCCUGCCUCAGCUUCCAAAGGCACAGGCCAAGUUGUAGCUUUGUCCCUUGCCAUCAUGCCCAACAAGAGGUUCUAUACCUUUUAAUGAAUUGACUUUCAUAAAUUGGUUAUGUUGGUGGGCAAAGUUCUUUAAGCUGGAAAUUGUAAAUUCCUCCUGAAAUGUUUUUUCAUGCAGUUACCAUGAACUAAUACUACAAUAAAGGAUGGUCUUGGGUGUCAAUUCUUGAAAA
RNAcentral lists this long non-coding RNA (1334 nucleotides) under Homo sapiens (human). Its description in RNAcentral is "non-protein coding LRRC75A-AS1:77". The stretch from base 404 to 477 matches the Rfam family "Small nucleolar RNA SNORD49". The record is from RNAcentral. Lineage: Eukaryota; Metazoa; Chordata; Mammalia; Primates; Hominidae.